This 64-nucleotide transfer RNA is filed under the name marine eukaryotic metagenome. It matches the Rfam family "tRNA", at positions 6 to 65 of the family's 71-position model. From Rfam's summary of the family: Transfer RNA (tRNA) molecules are approximately 80 nucleotides in length. Their secondary structure includes four short double-helical elements and three loops (D, anti-codon, and T loops). Further hydrogen bonds mediate the characteristic L-shaped molecular structure. tRNAs have two regions of fundamental functional importance: the anti-codon, which is responsible for specific mRNA codon recognition, and the 3' end, to which the tRNAs corresponding amino acid is attached (by aminoacyl-tRNA synthetases). tRNAs cope with the degeneracy of the genetic code in two manners: having more than one tRNA (with a specific anti-codon) for a particular amino acid; and 'wobble' base-pairing, i.e. permitting non-standard base-pairing at the 3rd anti-codon position. The record is from RNAcentral.
GGCGUAGCUCAAUGGUUAGAGCACUGGACUGUGGCUCCAGGUGUUGGGGGUUCGAGUCCCCUCG